UUGCAUAUAUUAGGUAAAAUUAAUUUCACUUGGGUUUAAUUCUUUUUAGUUUUUUUAAACGUGCCUAUAGAACACUUUAAAUGACAAAUGUGGCCGACCUUAUAUUUUUAUUGGGCAGUGCUGCUACAGACUUUCAGAGGAUGGACUCAGCAACAGAUACUGAAACAUCUGAAAACCUUGAAAGAAGGGGUGAGAUCUCUGCUGGAAGGAUACAUACACAGGCUCUGAAUUAGAAAACAAGAGAAGGAAUAUCCUGCUAAUUUCUAGUUCUGAAGAGUCGGUCUCUUAUGGAGUUUAUAUCAAGGGACCAAAACAGUUUGGCAACUAAAGACAUAUAUUUUUACAUCGACAGAAAGUGCUACAUGAUAGAAGAGAAGAUUCAUUCAGAUGCACACAGAUUACCAUUCUCAUGCUGUAUGAUUUGCAUGAUACCGGAAAGCCUCAUUACCGUCCAAACUUCAAUGUUUUACCUAUUGGUCAAAGUCUUGAAUUCCCAAAUAAAACUAGUUUCCUCAGAGUCAUGUUCUAAGGGGGUUGAGUUGCAGGCACCACAGUAUUAAUAUACUUCUUGAGGGAAGGGGAUGUCUGUUUUGUUUACCCUUUCUAUUAGUCUUAUUAAAAUCUCAUCUUUAAAUUCCAGGGUGGCAUUAUAGUUGAUUUUCUCCCUCUCCCUCUCUCUUCUUCUCUUUCUCUCUUUAUCCAGAUGGGUGGACACAGGGACACAGGGUAUAGAUAGAGCUUAUGUCUGUUCGAAGCCCAGUAAAUAAGAAAAGGGGAGGUCCUGAGCAGAGGAAGAUGACCAUUUUUCCAUCACUUCGGAAGAUUUUGGGGGACAGGAGGAGGGUUGUCAUCUCACAGGCCCUCAGAAAGAUGAAUCCUUUUCUGGUUAGGCUAGAGGAGGGAGAACACUUCCUCUAGAGGGCCCAAAGAGAUCACCAGCAUCCCCACAGAUGACACACGGGUCCUGUUUCCACAGCCCUCUUCCUAUGGAGCGGGCCACAUGGAGCAGCCUAAUACCAGCAGCUCACCGGAGUAUAUUGAAAAUUAGCUGGGGUUUUAGGAGCAGGGCAAAAAAAUAAGUGUUCAAGCUUUAAAAAUAUGUUGCUAAUAACUAGACACACACUCAUAUUUCAAAUAUUGCUUUGGUAUGUACAUUUUAAACUGCUACAUUUAAUCAUGUUAUACCAAUCACUUUUGCAUCUAUGGCCUACAGAUUGGAACCACUUCAUGGAACAGUCUGAUACCAA
This is a long non-coding RNA of Hipposideros armiger (great roundleaf bat), 1247 nucleotides long. RefSeq lists it as uncharacterized. The transcript is spliced from 3 exons. Lineage: Eukaryota; Metazoa; Chordata; Mammalia; Chiroptera; Hipposideridae. The record is from RefSeq and is a predicted model, not a curated record.